GACGAACGCUGGCGGCGUGCUUAACACAUGCAAGUCGAACGGAAAGGCCCUGCUUUUGUGGGGUGCUCGAGUGGCGAACGGGUGAGUAACACGUGAGUAACCUGCCCUUGACUUUGAGAUAACUUCAGGAAACUGGGGCUAAUACCGGAUAGGAGCUCCUGCUGCAUGGUGGGGGUUGGAAAGUUUCGGCGGUUGGGGAUGGACUCGCGGCUUAUCAGCUUGUUGGUGGGGUAGUGGCUUACCAAGGCUUUGACGGGUAGCCGGCCUGAGAGGGUGACCGGCCACAUUGGGACUGAGAUACGGCCCAGACUCCUACGGGAGGCAGCAGUGGGGAAUAUUGCACAAUGGGCGGAAGCCUGAUGCAGCAACGCCGCGUGCGGGAUGACGGCCUUCGGGUUGUAAACCGCUUUAGCCUGUGACGAAGCGUGAGUGACGGUAAUGGGUAAAGAAGCACCGGCUAACUACGUG
RNAcentral lists this ribosomal RNA (468 nucleotides) under uncultured bacterium. RNAcentral describes it as "partial 16S ribosomal RNA". It matches the Rfam family "Bacterial small subunit ribosomal RNA", at positions 28 to 507 of the family's 1533-position model. The record is from RNAcentral.